AAGUUAGGUGAAUAAAUAUGAACUUAAAUGUAUUACAGAUAAUAAAGGGUAAAAUUGAGUUAUUAUUAUGUAAAUGAAUAAGUUUUAAAUUGAAGCUAAAAAAAUUUAGGUAAAAACUAGGAUUAGAUACCCUAUUAUUUAAAAUUUAAAUUAUUAAUGAAGGCCUGGUUAGUAAUAGUUAUUUACUUAAAAACUAAAAGAUUUGGCGGUAAUUUAAUCUUUCCAGAGGAACUUGUUUUUUAAUCGAUAAACCACGAAAUAUCUUACUUGCUUUAGUUGAAAUUAGUUUGUAUACCUUCAUUAUCAGGUAAUUUUAAGAGAAUAAAUUAUUAAAAUUGCGUUUGCAAAAAAAUUAGAUCAUGGUGCAGCUUAUAGGCAAGUUUAAAUGAGUUACAAUAAAUUAUUUUAGACGGAUUUGUAGUUUAAACAUUACAAUCAAGGUGGAUUUGGUUGUAUUAUAAGUUUAAUAAGCUUGUAAGAUAUAGGCUCUAAAUUAUGUACAUAUCGCCCGUCGCUUUCAUUUAUAAGU
Molecule: ribosomal RNA, 529 nt
Filed under: Tubuca arcuata
Lineage: Eukaryota; Metazoa; Arthropoda; Malacostraca; Decapoda; Ocypodidae
Description: partial 12S ribosomal RNA
Source: RNAcentral